GGGUAUGAUCAAAUUAGAAAUAAUGCACUAAAUCUUAUUUAGACCUUCGUAGUUAAGCAUGUUUGGUAGAGAGUAUAAUAUUAAGUUGGGUGACCACUUGAAAAGUUUUCGUAUUGCACUCU
RNAcentral lists this ribosomal RNA (122 nucleotides) under Cucumis melo (muskmelon). Lineage: Eukaryota; Viridiplantae; Streptophyta; Magnoliopsida; Cucurbitales; Cucurbitaceae. RNAcentral also lists the same sequence under 1 other name. The record is from RNAcentral.